AGCACUGUAUGGUAUCUGCAGCCAGCCGCUACUCCGGAUGGAGAGUCAGUGCAAGAGCAGCUCGGCAUGUGGUAUCGAUGGUCUCCUUGCCUCUUUGUUCCUGGUGUAUCUCUCCAUACAAAC
Salmo salar (Atlantic salmon) is the source of this 123-nucleotide non-coding RNA. The record is from Rfam. NCBI's taxonomy places the organism in Eukaryota, Metazoa, Chordata, Actinopteri, Salmoniformes, Salmonidae.